GUAGGUGGCAAGCGUUGUCCGGAAUUAUUGGGCGUAAAGCGCGCGCAGGCGGUUCUUUAAGUCUGAUGUGAAAACCCACGGGCUCAACCGUGGAGGGUCAUUGGAAACUGGAGAACUUGAGUACAGAAGAGGAAAGCGGAAUUCCACGUGUAGCGGUGAAAUGCGUAGAGAUGUGGAGGAACACCAGUGGCGAAGGCGGCUUUCUGGUCUGUAACUGACGCUGAGGCGCGAAAGCGUGGGGAGCAAACAGGAUUAGAUACCCUGGUAGUCCACGCCGUAAACGAUGAGUGCUAAGUGUUAGGGGGUUUCCGCCCCUUAGUGCUGCAGCUAACGCAUUAAGCACUCCGCCUGGGGAGUACGGCCGCAAAGGCUG
This 373-nucleotide ribosomal RNA is filed under the name uncultured organism. RNAcentral describes it as "partial 16S ribosomal RNA". It matches the Rfam family "Bacterial small subunit ribosomal RNA", at positions 527 to 896 of the family's 1533-position model. The record is from RNAcentral.